RNAcentral lists this ribosomal RNA (496 nucleotides) under Burkholderia gladioli. RNAcentral's name for it is "bacterial SSU rRNA". It matches the Rfam family "Bacterial small subunit ribosomal RNA", at positions 846 to 1348 of the family's 1533-position model. Lineage: Bacteria; Pseudomonadati; Pseudomonadota; Betaproteobacteria; Burkholderiales; Burkholderiaceae. The record is from RNAcentral.
ACGUAGCUACGCGUGAGUUGACCGCCUGGGGAGUACGGUCGCAAGAUUAAAACUCAAAGGAAUUGACGGGGACCCGCACAAGCGGUGGAUGAUGUGGAUUAAUUCGAUGCAACGCGAAAAACCUUACCUACCCUUGACAUGGUCGGAAUCCUNGAGAGAUCUGGGAGUGCUCGAAAGAGAACCGAUACACAGGUGCUGCAUGGCUGUCGUCAGCUCGUGUCGUGAGAUGUUGGGUUAAGUCCCGCAACGAGCGCAACCCUUGUCCUUAGUUGCUACGCAAGAGCACUCUAGGGAGACUGCCGGUGACAAACCGGAGGAAGGUGGGGAUGACGUCAAGUCCUCAUGGCCCUUAUGGGUAGGGCUUCACACGUCAUACAAUGGUCGGAACAGAGGGUCGCCAACCCGCGAGGGGGAGCUAAUCCCAGAAAACCGAUCGUAGUCCGGAUUGCACUCUGCAACUCGAGUGCAUGAAGCUGGAAUCGCUAGUAAUCGCAAA